This 1245-nucleotide ribosomal RNA is filed under the name metagenome. RNAcentral's name for it is "bacterial LSU rRNA". It matches the Rfam family "Bacterial large subunit ribosomal RNA", at positions 1564 to 2818 of the family's 2925-position model. The record is from RNAcentral.
UGAAUACGAGACGCUAAGGCGUCGAAGUAGUGUAUGUCAUACUUCCAAGAAAAGCUUGCACUGUCAUAGAUAAAAAACGCCUGUACCAUAACCGACACAGGUGGGUAGGUAGAGUAUACUAAGGGGCGCGAGAUAACUCUCUCUAAGGAACUCGGCAAAAUAACUCCGUAACUUCGGGAGAAGGAGUGCCUUAUUCGUAAGGUUGCAAUAACAAGAUCCAAGCAACUGUUUAUCAAAAACACAGGUCUCCGCUAAGUCGUAAGACGAUGUAUGGGGGCUGACGCCUGCCCAGUGCCAGAAGGUUAAAGAAGUUGGUUAGCAAUUGCGAAGCUGAUAACUGAAGCCCUGGUGAACGGCGGCCGUAACUAUAACGGUCCUAAGGUAGCGAAAUUCCUUGUCGGGUAAGUUCCGACCCGCACGAAAGGCGUAAUGAUUUGGAUACUGUCUCGGAGAGGGGCUCGGUGAAAUAGACUUGUCUGUGAAGAUGCGGACUACCUGCACCAGGACAGAAAGACCCUAUGAAGCUUUACUGUAACUUGAAAUUGAAAUUGGACUUUAUUCGCGCAGUAUAGGUGGGAGGCGUUGAUUAUAAUCUUGUGGGAUUAUUGGAGCCAUCAGUGAGAUACCACUCUUGUAAUGUUAGAUUUCUAACUUUGAAUCAUUAUCUGGUCAAAGAACAGUUUCAGGCGGGCAGUUUGACUGGGGCGGUCGCCUCCUAAACGGUAACGGAGGCGUACAAAGGUUUCCUCUGAACGGUUAGAAAUCGUAUCUAGAGUGUAAAGGCAUAAGGAAGCUUGACUGUGAGACCUACAAGUCGAGCAGGGACGAAAGUCGGUCUUAGUGAUCUGACGGUACUGAGUGGAAAGGCCGUCACUCAACGGAUAAAAGUUACUCUAAGGAUAACAGGCUGAUCUCCCCCAAGAGUUCACAUCGACGGGGAGGUUUGGCACCUCGAUGUCGGCUCAUCGCAUCCUGGGGCGGUAGUACGUCCCAAGGGUUGGGCUGUUCGCCCAUGAAAGCGGUACGCGAGCUGGGUUCAGAACGUCGUGAGACAGUUCGGUCCAUAUCCGGUGUAGGCGUUAGAAUAUUGAGAGGAGCCUUCUUUAGUACGAGAGGACCGAGAAGGACAUACCUCUGGUGUACCAGUUAUCGUGCCAACGGUAAACGCUGGGUAGCUAUGUAUGGAGUGGAUAACCGCUGAAAGCAUCUAAGUGGGAAGCCCACCUCAAGAUAAGUAUUCUCAGC